GAGUUUGAUCAUGGCUCAGAACGAACGCUGGCGGCGUGCCUAACACAUGCAAGUCGAACGGACUUUAUUUCUUCGGAUUUAAAGUUAGUGGCGCACGGGUGAGUAACGCGUGGAUAUCUGCCUAUUAGUGGGGGACAACUUGGAGAAAUCCAAGCUAAUACCGCAUACGCACUACGGUGGAAAGCAGGGGACCUUCGGGCCUUGUGCUGAUAGAUGAGUCCGCGUCUGAUUAGCUAGUUGGUAAGGUAAUGGCUUACCAAGGCGAUGAUCAGUAACUGGUUUGAGAGGAUGAUCAGUCACACUGGAACUGAGACACGGUCCAGACUUCUACGGAAGGCGGCAGUGGGGAAUAUUGCACAAUGGGCGAAAGCCUGAUGCAGCGACGCCGCGUGCGGGAAGAAGGCCUUCGGGUUGUAAACCGCUUUCAAUUGGGAAGAAGAGAUGAGCGCUAAUAUCGCUCUGAUUUGACGGUACCUUUAGAAGAAGCACCGGCUAAUUUCGUGCCAGCAGCCGCGGUAAUACGAAAGGUGCAAGCGUUGUUCGGAUUUACUGGGCGUAAAGAGAUCGUAGGUGGUUUGUUAAGUCGGAUGUGAAAUCCCAAGGCUCAACCUUGGAACUGCAUUCGAUACUGGCAGGCUAGAGUUUGGG
Molecule: ribosomal RNA, 648 nt
Filed under: Zetaproteobacteria bacterium S2.5
Lineage: Bacteria; Pseudomonadati; Pseudomonadota; Candidatius Mariprofundia
Description: bacterial SSU rRNA
Rfam family: Bacterial small subunit ribosomal RNA
Source: RNAcentral